RNAcentral lists this ribosomal RNA (450 nucleotides) under uncultured bacterium. RNAcentral describes it as "bacterial SSU rRNA". It matches the Rfam family "Bacterial small subunit ribosomal RNA", at positions 354 to 796 of the family's 1533-position model. The record is from RNAcentral.
GUAGGGAAUCUUCCGCAAUGGACGAAAGUCUGACGGAGCAACGCCGCGUGAGCGAAGAAGGUCUUCGGAUCGUAAAGCUCUGUUGUUAGGGAAGAACAAGUACCGGAGUAACUGACGGUACCUUGACGGUACCUAACCAGAAAGCCACGGCUAACUACGUGCCAGCAGCCGCGGUAAUACGUAGGUGGCAAGCGUUGUCCGGAAUCAUUGGGCGUAAAGCGCGCGCAGGCGGUCCUUUAAGUCUGAUGUGAAAUCUUGCGGCUCAACCGUAAGCGGUCAUUGGAAACUGGGGGACUUGAGUGCAGGAGAGGAAAGCGGAAUUCCAUGUGUAGCGGUGAAAUGCGUAGAGAUAUGGAGGAACACCAGUGGCGAAGGCGGCUUUCUGGCCUGUAACUGACGCUGAGGCGCGAAAGCGUGGGGAGCAAACAGGAUUAGAAACCCUAGUAGUCC